Galeopterus variegatus (Sunda flying lemur) is the source of this 376-nucleotide long non-coding RNA. RefSeq lists it as uncharacterized. The transcript has 2 exons. NCBI's taxonomy places the organism in Eukaryota, Metazoa, Chordata, Mammalia, Dermoptera, Cynocephalidae. The record is from RefSeq and is a predicted model, not a curated record.
UCCCGAAACUCAUGGAAGCUUCUGGAGCCCCUUUCUCCACCCAGCUGCCCGAGACUGUGGAAGUCUCCGUCCGGAGCGGGCAUGCUCAGGAGCGGUGCAAUUCAGAGGCAACUCAGGGUUCCCAAUCAGUGGGGCGGACGCCGCUCGCCAGGGCAGAGAAGGCUCGGGAAUCCAACUGAAAUUCCCACAUCUUUGAGAAAUAUGCAAGUGUGAUACAAUCAUGAAGAUUUCUCCUUGAGACUGCCAACAUAAGAUUAUAAAAUCUGAUAUUCAAAAUACUUUUAAAAUCUGCAAGCUCAUGUAUUGAGUAAUUCUUUACUAAUAAUAAAGUAAGAGCCAUAAAAGUUGGUUUAAAUAAAGAAAAAUAUGUACUUGU